AUUUUAUGAUGAGGGCACUUCCGUAAUAAUUUUUUGUACCUUUCCCAUACCUUAUACAAAGACUCAUCAUCCAUUUGUCGGAAAGCAGUGAUCUCAUUCUUCAACUU
RNAcentral lists this small nucleolar RNA (107 nucleotides) under Gossypium hirsutum (cotton). RNAcentral describes it as "Plant small nucleolar RNA R71". It matches the Rfam family "Plant small nucleolar RNA R71". From Rfam's summary of the family: R71 is a member of the C/D box family of snoRNAs containing the C (UGAUGA) and D (CUGA) box motifs. Multiple nearly identical copies of this snoRNA have been identified in Arabidopsis, and it is thought to function as a 2'-O-ribose methylation guide for 18S ribosomal RNA. Lineage: Eukaryota; Viridiplantae; Streptophyta; Magnoliopsida; Malvales; Malvaceae. The record is from Rfam by way of RNAcentral.